CUUCCGGGAGUCGGAGGGCUUGGCUUAGCAGAGGAGCUGGCGCCAGUGUUUUCAUGUGCUGUGCUGUGAGUGCUGCUGCUGAGAGCUGUGAGGGGCCAUGGACGAGCUGGAAAGCCAUGCCAUGUGAUCAAAAGAUGGUCUCCAAAACACUGAACUUGGAAUAAUGGAGAGUUGGAUCCCCCAAAAUGCAGUGACCUAUAAUGAUGUACAUGUCAACUUCACUUGGGAAGAGUGGGCUUUGCUGGAUCCUUCCCAGAAGAAUCUCUACAAAGAUGUGAUGCUAGAAACCUACAGGAACCUCAUUACCAUAGGAUACAGUUGGGAAGACCAUAAUAUUGAAGAACAUUUUCAGAGUUCUAGAAGACAUGAAAGGCAUGAAAGAAGUGAUAAUGAAGAGAAUCCUUCUGUAUAUACUCAGUGUGUUAAAGCCUUUGCAUAUGACAGUCAUAUUCAAAGGUAUGAAAGAACACAUACUAGAGAGAAACACUAUGAAUGUAAUCAGUGUGGUAAAGCCUUUGCACAUCACAGUAAUCUUCAAAGCCAUACAAGAACACAUACUGGAGAGAAACCUUAUGAAUGUAUUCAAUGUGGUAAAGCCUUUGCACAACAAAGAUAUCUUCAACGUCAUACAAGAACACAUACUGGAGAGAAACCCUAUGAAUGUAUUGAAUGUGGUAAAGCCUUUGCAAGUCAUAGUGUUCUUCGAAAGCAUAAAAGAACACAUACUGGAGAGAAACCCUAUAAAUGUAAUCAGUGUGGUAAAGCCUUUACACAACAGGGUAAUCUUCAAAUUCAUAGAAGAACACAUACUGGAGAGAAACCCUAUGAAUGCCGUCAGUGUGGUAAAGCCUUUACACAACAGGGUAAUCUUCAAACUCAUAAAAGAACACAUACUGGAGAGAAACCCUAAAAAAAUGUAAUUAGUGUGGUGAACCCUUUGCAUACAUCAGUAAUCUUCAAAAUCAUGAAAAAAUGUCAUGCUGCAGAGAAACUAAAAAUAUAAACAAUGUGGUAAUGUUUUGCACUUUAUGCAGUAGUAAAACUUGGUGUGCAAUCAAUAUGCUAAAGGCUUUGCAUAUUACAAUAGUCUUUGAGUACCUUUUAAAACACACAGGGAUUAUUAUUAUAAAGUAUUUGGUAAGAUCUUUAUCUAACACACUUGCAUUGAGUUACACAAGAGUAUUUAUUCUAUAGAAAAAAAUUGACAAUGUUAGUCAUCUAUAGAGCUUUAUGAUGUCCUUUUUAUAUUGUUUCCCCCUGAAAACUGAUGGAAGAAAUCAAUUUAAGAAUUUAUGAAGCCCUAUGUGUUGGGUAAAGGGGCCAGCCAAAGGAACACAUGGGAGCCUGAAAGCAGAGCCAGUGAAAAACAUACAUUUUGGCCUGAACCCAGAGCCAAAGAAACACACUGUAUGCCUGACCAAAUGAGCACAAAACAAGUAAAUCCCUGAGCAGGAAAAUCAACCAAUCCCUGACCACAAAACUAACCAAUCACUAAACAGUAAUUUCAGCCAAUCUCUGAGCUUGGUUGAUCUCUGGGAUUGAAAUCUGAUCAAUUCCCACCCUUAGAAUCUUCUCUCUGUAAACAUUCAGCCCCUAAGAAGCCUCAUAAAUGCCCUGUGCCUGUUCAGUUGGCAGCUGCCCUUUUCUACUCUGCUAGAGGCAGCCACUCUCCUGGAUUCCUCCCUCCUAAAUAGUUUUGGUUGAAGACCUUUCACCAGAGCAGAGCAGUAUCUCUGCUGGGAAUCUCCCUAAUGGAACAGAGCAGAGAAGCAAUGGACAUCUCUGAUGAGAAACUCCUAGUGUAGUGGAACAGUGAAACAAGGGACACUUCUUCUGGGAAACUAGAUUAGGGGAGCAAAGCAGACAUGGCAACUUUUCACCAGAGCCAGAGCAGACUGCUGCAUUUCUACAAGAGUUCCCCAUUAGUUGAGUGAGGCAGAGAAGUAACAAUUGGUCCAGGGCUGAGAAGAAAUGGAAAACUCUGCUGGGAAACUCCCUAGUGAAGCAGUAGAAACUGUGCUGGUAAACUCCCUUAGGAGAGUGGAUCAGAGCAGCAAUUGGUAUCUCCCCUCGGCAUCUCUCUUAGCAGAGUGAAGCAGAGCCCAAGUGUAAUGGAUCUCUCUCAGAGAACAGCAGUAUUAGCAUGUCCUGGAGGGAGACCAUUCCCCCACCAGAACACAGCUUCUGGUACAGCCUGACUUCCUACCAAUCAGUAUUCCUUUCUCCUCACAGCUGUAGGUAUCCAUAAUACCUUCCCUUCACAGCUGUAGGUAUAGCCUGAUUUGUGACAUUCUGGGUACCUUUGUCUUCAGAGCUGUAGGUAUCCAGGAUAUCUUCCCUCUACAGCUUCAGGUAUAGCCUGACUUCCCAACAGCCAGGAUACCUUUCUCCACACAGUUGUAGAUAUCCAGGAUUCCUUUUGUUCACAGCUGUGGGUAUAGCCUGACUUCUUAACAGUCAGGAUAUUUUCCCUCACAGCUGUAGAUAUCCAGGGUACUUUCCUUUCACAGCUGUAGGUACAGCCAGACUUCCAACAGUCAUGGUACCUUUCUCUCCAGAGCUGGAACUCUUGUACUAUAAAUUUAAAUGUUAAUGUAACUCUUUUAGAUUUUAUACUUCCUUUAAUUACAUGAAAUAAUUAAUGCAGGACUAAAACUAUGGAUUGGUAUGAGUUCCUUUUCUGUUAUUGUGAUAUAAUAUGUAUGUCAACUUAUAAGAGAGUUAAAUUUGACUCUUGGUUCCAGAGGGAUACCAAUUGGCAUGGCAACAAAUGCCAGACAUAGCAGCUAAAGCAGGAGGCUAAGAAUUUACAUCCUUAACCUGCAGCAUGAAGUAGAGAGUGGGAACUGGAAAUGGUGUAUGAUGCAAAUUCUCAAAGUCUACCCCUACUGACAUAUUUCCCCCAGCAGGGCAGCAUUUCCUAAAUCUUCCCAAAUGAUACCACCAACUUACAAGGGUUGAUUUCUCUGACUUCAAGUCCACAUGUUUGUUUUCUGUUACAUGAUCCAAUUCAUGAUUAAGAAAAAACUCUGUAAGUAAACUGUUAGAUACCUCAACACCUGUGUUAUAGGAAUAAAUGCUUAGAAGAGAAAAACUUUUAUCAGUGAAAAAUUGUUUAAAGAGUUGUUUUAAUUUUAAUUAUUUGAUAUGUUGUGUGUUUGUGUAUGUAUGUGAAUGUGCAUACUGGUUCCUGAGAAUGUUUAGACCCUUGGAUCUCUUUUAGGAUGAAUUACAGGAAGUUGUCAAAAAUUAGUACUUGGUCCCGUGAAUGAACUUUCUUAACUGUCCAGCCAUGUCUCUAGCCCUGUAAAUAUUUUAAAGCCUAUUUAUAUAAUUUUGAAAUUGGGAAAUAGGGACAAACUCAUACAAGAGAAAAACCCUAUUUAUGUAAACCAUUUGGUAAAAACUUUAGACAUCAAAUUUGUCUUAAGAUUAGGGAAAAAUUGUUUUAUUUCUUUUUCAUUGUAUCCUUAAAAGUAGUAAAUUACUUACCUUGUCCACUCAAACUGAUGGUGGUGAUCCCUGCAUUGUAGUUUCUAGUUUGAAAAAUGUGAGGUAGAUACUAAAGUGUGCUAUAUGUGUGGCAAAUCCAUUUAGUGAAGUUUAUUUUGUGGUCCUUAUAUUUCUUCUGUGGCUUUUGUUGAUCUUCUAUUGUGCUUUUAUUUAGUGAUGGGUAUUUUUCUGCUAUGAUGUAUAGAACAGGAUCCCCAUCAUCUAAAUGUUCCAUUGUUUAUUUAAAUAUCACACAGUGUGUGAUCAUAAUUUUUAAGUAACGGUAUCUGUGAAAGGAUGGUAGGUUGUUCUUCCUGGUUUUGUUUUUCAUAUUUUUACAAAUUCCCUUGAGAUUUUGUUGUUUCUUAUUCAGCCUGGCUUGGAUAUCAAUAAUGAUUCAAGGAUAAAUUUGAACUCAUGAUCCUCAUGUGUCCGCCUCCUAAGUACAAGUCCAAGAGUAGAUGAUGUAUUCCCAAUAUUGCUGUUUUGUCAACACUAUUGAAUAAUGUUAAUGUUAAAGUGCUUGAUAGAGGAGAAUAUAAUAAACAUUAAACACCUCAUGUGUA
RNA transcript from Peromyscus californicus insignis, 4058 nucleotides. It is a transcript of the gene named zinc finger protein 120-like, with no coding region annotated. The record is from RefSeq and is a predicted model, not a curated record. The transcript has 5 exons. Lineage: Eukaryota; Metazoa; Chordata; Mammalia; Rodentia; Cricetidae.